CCUACGGGAGGCAGCAGUGAGGAAUAUUGGUCAAUGGACGAGAGUCUGAACCAGCCAAGUAGCGUGAAGGAUGACUGCCCUAUGGGUUGUAAACUUCUUUUAUAUGGGACUAAAAUGUUCCACGUGUGGGAUUUUGUAUGUACCAUAUGAAUAAGGAUCGGCUAACUCCGUGCCAGCAGCCGCGGUAAUACGGAGGUUCCGAGCGUUAUCCGGAUUUAUUGGGUUUAAAGGGAGCGUAGGUGGAUUGUUAAGUCAGUUGUGAAAGUUUGCGGCUCAACCGUAAAAUUGCAGUUGAAACUGGCAGUCUUGAGUACAGUAGAGGUGGGCGGAAUUCGUGGUGUAGCGGUGAAAUGCUUAGAUAUCACGAAGAACUCCGAGUGCGAAGGCAGUUCACUGGACUGCAACUGACACUGAGGCUCGAAAGUGUGGGUAUCAAACAGGAUUAGAUACCCGGGUAGUC
Molecule: ribosomal RNA, 460 nt
Filed under: uncultured bacterium
Lineage: Bacteria
Description: partial 16S ribosomal RNA
Rfam family: Bacterial small subunit ribosomal RNA
Source: RNAcentral